UGCUAUACAUGCAGUCGAACGCUUCUUUUUCCACCGGAGCUUGCUCCACCGGAAAAAGAGGAGUGGCGAACGGGUGAGUAACACGUGGGUAACCUGCCCAUCAGAAGGGGAUAACACUUGGAAACAGGUGCUAAUACCGUAUAACAAUCGAAACCGCAUGGUUUUGAUUUGAAAGGCGCUUUCGGGUGUCGCUGAUGGAUGGACCCGCGGUGCAUUAGCUAGUUGGUGAGGUAACGGCUCACCAAGGCGACGAUGCAUAGCCGACCUGAGAGGGUGAUCGGCCACAUUGGGACUGAGACACGGCCCAAACUCCUACGGGAGGCAGCAGUAGGGAAUCUUCGGCAAUGGACGAAAGUCUGACCGAGCAACGCCGCGUGAGUGAAGAAGGUUUUCGGAUCGUAAAACUCUGUUGUUAGAGAAGAACAAGGAUGAGAGUAACUGUUCAUCCCUUGACGGUAUCUAACCAGAAAGCCACGGCUAACUACGUGCCAGCAGCCGCGGUAAUACGUAGGUGGCAAGCGUUGUCCGGAUUUAUUGGGCGUAAAGCGAGCGCAGGCGGUUUCUUAAGUCUGAUGUGAAAGCCCCCGGCUCAACCGGGGAGGGUCAUUGGAAACUGGGAGACUUGAGUGCAGAAGAGGAGAGUGGAAUUCCAUGUGUAGCGGUGAAAUGCGUAGAUAUAUGGAGGAACACCAGUGGCGAAGGCGGCUCUCUGGUCUGUAACUGACGCUGAGGCUCGAAAGCGUGGGGAG
RNAcentral lists this ribosomal RNA (749 nucleotides) under Enterococcus sp. M361. Its description in RNAcentral is "bacterial SSU rRNA". It matches the Rfam family "Bacterial small subunit ribosomal RNA", at positions 45 to 768 of the family's 1533-position model. The record is from RNAcentral. Lineage: Bacteria; Bacillati; Bacillota; Bacilli; Lactobacillales; Enterococcaceae.